Molecule: long non-coding RNA, 378 nt
Organism: Pseudophryne corroboree (corroboree frog)
Lineage: Eukaryota; Metazoa; Chordata; Amphibia; Anura; Myobatrachidae
Exons: 3
Source: RefSeq, a predicted model, not a curated record
GAAGACAUCUGGUGACUGUGAGACAUCAAGGAGCCGUCCCUGUGUGUCAGGGGGACUAAGAACGACCCAGAGCCCCAUCUUGUUGCUUCCACCUCACUCACUGAUACAUGAGAGAGACAAUGACCAGAAGAUUCUGGAACUCACCAACAAGAUCAUUCAGCUGUUGACUGGAGAGGUUCCUAUAAGGUGUGAGGAUGUCACUGUCUAUUUCUCCAUGGAGGAGUGGGAGUAUAUAGAGGAACACAGGUGUCUAUACAAGGACGUGAUGAUGGAGAAUCACCUGCCCCUCACAUCACUAGAUGGAUCCAGUAACAGGAAUACCCCAAAGAGAAGUCCCCGUCCUCUUUAUUCCCAGGAUCAUACAGAGGAGAAUCACAG